This 1441-nucleotide ribosomal RNA is filed under the name uncultured Bordetella sp. Its description in RNAcentral is "partial 16S-23S ribosomal RNA intergenic spacer". It matches the Rfam family "Bacterial small subunit ribosomal RNA". The record is from RNAcentral. Lineage: Bacteria; Pseudomonadati; Pseudomonadota; Betaproteobacteria; Burkholderiales; Alcaligenaceae.
GGUUCGAUCUGGCUCCAGUUGAACGCUGGCGGGGAUACUUCCCAUGCAAGUCAGACGGCAGCACGGACUGGUCUGGUGGCAGGGGUGGCGAACAGGUACAGGUAAUGUAUCGGAACGUGCCGUGGCGGGGGAUAACUACGCGAAAGCGUAGCUAAUACCGCAUACGCCCUUCGGAAAGCGAGACGUCGGGCCUCGCCACUAUUAGAGCGGCCGAUAUCGGAUUAGCUAGUUGGUGGGGUAACGCUCUUGGCGACGAUCCGUAGCUGGUUUGAAGGCGACCGUACACUGGGACUGAGACGCGGCCCAGACUCCUGCAGGAGGCAGUGAAAUUUUGGACAAUAAAACCUGAUCCAGCCAUCCACGUCGACGCGUCAUUUCGGGUUGUAAAGCAACUUUUGGCAGAAAGAAACGGCGCGGAUAGCCGUGCAGCUGACUGAUACCUGCGAAUACUUUGACUGUGCUACGUGCCAGCAGCGCGGUAAUACGUAGUGCAAGCGUUAAUCAGAAUUACUGGGGCGUAAAGCGUGCGCACAGGCAGUUGGAAAGAAGAUGCGAAAUCCCGGGCUUAACUUUUUGGAACUGCAUUUUCAGCACCGAGCUAGAGAAUUAUGUGUCGGAGGUGGAAUUCACGUGGCAGUGGUACGUAGAUAUUGCGAGCACACCGGUAGCGAAAACAGCCUCCUGGGAUAACACUGACGCUCAUGCACGAAAGCGUGAGGAGCAAACAGGUUAGAUGCACAAGUGGUCACGCCUAAGCUUGAUGUCAACUAGCUAUUUGGGGCCUUCGGGCCUUGGUAGCGCAGCUAACGCGUGAAGUUGACCGCCUGGGAGAUACCAGUCGCAGAUUAAAACUCAAAGAAAUUGACGGACCCGCACAAGCGGUGGAUGAUGUGGAUUAAUUCGAUGCAACGCGAAAAACCUUACCUACCCUUGACAUGUCUGGAAUCCCGAAAGAGAUUUGGGGGUGCUCGCAAGAGAACCGGAACACAGGUGCUGCAUGGCUGUCAUCAGCUCGUGUCGUGAGAUGUUGGGUUAAGUCUCCGCAACGAGCGCAACCCUUGUCAUUAGUUGCUGCGAAGGGCACUCUAAUGAGACUGCCGGUGACAAACCGGAAGGUGGGGAUGACGUCAAGUCCUCAUGGCCCUUAUGGGUAGGGCUUCACGCGUCAUACAAUGGUCAGGACAAGAGGUCGCCAACCCGCGAGAGGCCAAUCAGAAACCCGAUCGUAGUCCGGAUCACCAGUCUGCAACUCGACUGCGUGAAGUCGGAAUCGCUAGUAAUCGCGGAUCAGCAUGUCGCGGUGAAUACGUUCCCGGGUCUUGUACACACGCGCCCGUCACACCAUGGGAGUGGGUUUUACCAGAAGUAGUUAGCCUAACCGUAAGAGGGCGAAUUACCACGGUAGGAUUCAUGACUGGGGUGAAGUCAUGGCACACAGUGG